CGCCCGGUACUCUCUUAUUCCUCCUCCCUCUCUUGUUUCAUUCUUCCUCUUGUUCGUUUUUUUUAACAACGGUUGUUUAUGUUUUCGCAAAGCCACCACCACCACGCUGCCACCAGCGCACCUCCGUGUGCAACCCUGCCGCCCAGCCAUGCCUCCAGCCGUGCCCUCGUCCGCUGGCAGACCUCCUCUCUCCUCUUUACUUGGAGGAGAAUUCUCUGUAGACGAGAUUUGAAAGUGUUAAAGUGGCCUAUUAGUUGUUUAUACAAGUCUCUAAGGAUCAAUAAGCAUUGUCCAUCUGCAGGUUUGAAGAUGUUGCAUCAUUGGGAUCGGGAAUAGAGAGCUUGUAUUUAGUUUUGUUUUGCUAAGUGACUUGGUUUGUUAAUUUAGACUUGAAACUUGUCAUACAAUUUAUAUUUCCUUAUUUUCGUUAAUUGUUUUUUUGGAUUUAAUAUGUAAUUAAUUAUUUAUAAACCUAAA
Spinacia oleracea (spinach) is the source of this 477-nucleotide long non-coding RNA. RefSeq lists it as uncharacterized. The record is from RefSeq and is a predicted model, not a curated record. The transcript is spliced from 3 exons. Lineage: Eukaryota; Viridiplantae; Streptophyta; Magnoliopsida; Caryophyllales; Amaranthaceae.